This 497-nucleotide ribosomal RNA is filed under the name uncultured bacterium. Its description in RNAcentral is "partial 16S ribosomal RNA". It matches the Rfam family "Bacterial small subunit ribosomal RNA", at positions 28 to 507 of the family's 1533-position model. The record is from RNAcentral.
GAUGAACGCUGGCGGCGUGCCUAAUACAUGCAAGUCGAGCGAACGGACGAGAAGCUUGCUUCUCUGAUGUUAGCGGCGGGCGGGUGAGUAACACGUGGAUAACCUACCUAUAAGACUGGGAUAACUUCGGGAAACCGGAGCUAAUACCGGAUAAUAUUUUGAACCGCAUGGUUCAAAAGUGAAAGACGGUCUUGCUGUCACUUAUAGAUGGAUCCGCGCUGCAUUAGCUAGUUGGUAAGGUAACGGCUUACCAAGGCAACGAUGCAUAGCCGACCUGAGAGGGUGAUCGGCCACACUGGAACUGAGACACGGUCCAGACUCCUACGGGAGGCAGCAGUAGGGAAUCUUCCGCAAUGGGCGAAAGCCUGACGGAGCAACGCCGCGUGAGAGAUGAAGGUCUUCGGAUCGUAAAACUCUGUUAUUAGGGAAGAACAUAUGUGUAAGUAACUGUGCACAUCUUGACGGUACCUAAUCAGAAAGCCACGGCUAACUACGUG